ACGGCUGUGGUCUAGUGGUAUGAUCCGAGCUUCCCAAGCUUGUAGUCCGGGUUCGAUAACAGUUCUCCCAGAACUGGGAGGGGAGUGCGGCAUUCGUUCGCAAUGCUCACUCAGCCCCACAAGUGUAGGAGAACGACGAAAAUCCCGGCAGCCGUA
RNAcentral lists this transfer RNA (156 nucleotides) under Candidatus Woesearchaeota archaeon. RNAcentral's name for it is "tRNA-Gly". The record is from RNAcentral. Lineage: Archaea; Nanobdellati; Candidatus Woesearchaeota.